AUAUCCUUCGGGAUAUAAGCCGAGUGGCGCAAGGGUGAGUAAUGCAUAGAUUACCUGCCUCUAGGAUAAGGACAACUUUGUGAAAACGAAGCUAAUACUUAAUAAUACAAAAGAAAAUAAUUUUCUUUUGUCAAUGGGAGGGUAGCAAUACCUUUUGCCUAGAGAGGGGUUUAUGUCCUAUCAGCUUGUUGGUGGGGUAAUGGCCUACCAAGGCGAAGACGGGUAGCCGGUCUUAGAGGAUGGUCGGCCACACUGGGACUGAGACACUGCCCAGACUUCUACGGAAGGCUGCAGUCGAGAAUCUUUCGCAAUGCCCGAAAGGGUGACGAAGCGACGCCGCGUGAGUGAGGAAGGCCUUAGGGUUGUAAAGCUCUGUCAGGAGUUAAGAAAUAUAAGUGUGUUAAUACCACGUUUAUUUGACGAAGGCUCCAAAGGAAGCCACGGCUAACUCUGUGCCAGCAGCCGCGGUAAUACAGAGGUGGCAAGCGUUGUUCGGAAUUAUUGGGCGUAAAGAGCACGUAGGUGGGUUUGUAAGUCAGAUGUGAAAGCCUUCUGUUCAACGGAAGAAUUGCAUCUGAAACUGCAAGUCUUGAGUGUAGGAGGGGAGAAUGGAACUUCUGGUGGAGCGGUGAAAUGCGUAGAUAUCAGAAGGAACGCCGGCGGCGAAAGCGAUUCUCUGGCCUAUUACUGACGCUCAGUGUGCGAAAGCUAGGGGAGCAAACGGGAUUAGAUACCCCGGUAGUCCUAGCCGUAAACGAUGGGCACUAAGUAGAGGGAAUUACCGAUGUUCUCUCUGCCGUAGCUAACGCAUUAAGUGCCCCGCCUGGGGAGUACGGCCGCAAGGCUAAAACUCAAAAGAAUUGACGGGGGCUCGCACAAGCGGUGGAGCAUGUGGCUUAAUUCGAUGCAACGCGAAAAACCUUACCGGGGCUUGACAUGGUAGAAGUAGGAACCCGAAAGGGUAACGAACGGUAUCCAGUCCAUAGCUAUCACAGGUGUUGCAUGGCUGUCGUCAGCUCGUGUCGUGAGACGUUGGGUUAAGUCCCCUAACGAGCGAAACCCUUGUUUUUAGUUACCAGCGGGUUAUGCCGGGUACUCUAGAAAGACUGCCGUCGUCAAGACGGAGGAAGGUGGGGAUGACGUCAAGUCAUCAUGGCCCUUAUGCCCCGGGCUGCACACGUGCUACAAUGGUCGGUACAAACGGAAGCGAAGCCGAGAGGUGAAGCGAAUCCUAAAAAGCCGAUCUCAGUUCGGAUUGGAGGCUGAAAUUCGCCUCCAUGAAGUUGGAAUCGCUAGUAAUCGCGGAUCAGCAAUGCCGCGGUGAAUAUGUUCCCGAGCCUUG
This 1342-nucleotide ribosomal RNA is filed under the name uncultured Planctomycetota bacterium. RNAcentral describes it as "bacterial SSU rRNA". It matches the Rfam family "Bacterial small subunit ribosomal RNA", at positions 73 to 1383 of the family's 1533-position model. The record is from RNAcentral. Lineage: Bacteria; Pseudomonadati; Planctomycetota.